CCCCAAACCGGGUGGCCGGCCAUGAUGGAGGAGGGUUUUGAAUGACUCCUCCAUCGCUGAAGAACACCGCACUCUUCUGUGUGCGGUUCUACAAAGCAUUCGAUUUGUUGACAACGAAUUAAAGGAGGCUUUCGACGGCCCGUUGACAAGCUUCAAGGUAAUUUACACUACUUUUUUACAAAGUAGUUUUAAUUUAUGGGUAU
Molecule: long non-coding RNA, 203 nt
Filed under: Hordeum vulgare
Lineage: Eukaryota; Viridiplantae; Streptophyta; Magnoliopsida; Poales; Poaceae
Description: long non-coding RNA (HVUL_LNC005155)
Source: RNAcentral